Long non-coding RNA from Balaenoptera ricei (Rice's whale), 910 nucleotides. RefSeq lists it as uncharacterized. The record is from RefSeq and is a predicted model, not a curated record. NCBI's taxonomy places the organism in Eukaryota, Metazoa, Chordata, Mammalia, Artiodactyla, Balaenopteridae. The transcript is spliced from 3 exons.
UCCAGGGGCCGGGCUCUGCCUCAUCGCACUCGGCUCCCAGCGUGGCAGGUCUCCAGGCUGCGGGUGACCCCGAGGGGACGUGAGGAGGCCCCUCCCCCGGGUCAGCGCGGACAGCCGCUCCGAGGGGCCGGCUGCGGCCGGGACGCGGAGGACGGGGCAGGUGCACGGGGCCGCCAGAGGCCCGCCCCGCCGUUACUCACACACGGUUGCCACGGAGUUGACUGACCCUCCAGGAAAGAGGUGAAGCAGACACCCAGGGGUGGACCAGCCCAGAGCCGGGGCAUCCGCCUCAGGACGAGAGCAGGGUUUUACUUGGAAGAGGGGGGUUCCCGGUGUUGCUUGAAGCCGGCCUCUCUAGAGCUCUACCCACUAUGGCAGCUGAUUACCCUCCGGACAUGAAAACACAUAAAGAAGAAAUGCCAAGAUGCACUAGACACAGCCCCUGACAUCUGUAGCUCAGGCCGGCUGGAGAUCCCUUCACCUCUCAGCUUCCCUCCAUCUGCCCAGCUUCUGCCGCUUCCUCCCAAUGUCCACCUGCCAUUUCUCUCUCCCUCCCCCACGCUGGUCCAUUCUGCUCCCUGUCCGGACCACAAGUCAGGACGUCCGCGGUGUAAGUCCGGCAAGACCAGGAAGAAGGCAGCACCCAGGGGCUGGGUGGCAGGCACAAGGGGCCACGUCUGCCUGGCAACCCUGAAUCGGGGAGCAGGGGAAGCAGGAGAGCUGCAGGAACACCUUUGUGGAUGGGCCCCACGUCUGGUAUGGCUGAGCUUCCAGAAGAAGCCCCCGCGUGAGAGCGUAAGGCCGGGAGGGGAUCUCUGAACGCUGCUCAGCAGAGCCCCUUGUGCACUUGGCCUCUGUGAGUUGAUGAUUUGUCCUGGGUGGAGAGUCAGUGUCUCUGGAAUUCAUUUGG